RNAcentral lists this long non-coding RNA (2242 nucleotides) under Olea europaea subsp. europaea. Lineage: Eukaryota; Viridiplantae; Streptophyta; Magnoliopsida; Lamiales; Oleaceae. The record is from RNAcentral.
CUAAAUGACCACAUUACAUUUGGUAAUGAUUCAAAGGUGCAAGUCAAGGGUAAAAUUCUCAUCCAAAUGAAGAAUGAAGAACAAUAUAUAUUCAGUGUUUACUAUAUUCCUUUUAUGAAGACAAAUGUUUUGAGUUUUAUCCAAUUUUUAUUCAUAGAGUUCCAAUCAUGUAGAACCAAAUAAUCUUGUGAAUAUUCAAAGUUGAGAAGUAGAGUGUUUGCAGGCAUAGGUCAAAGAUUCAACAUUACAUUUGAAACAUGGCAAUUUAAGUUUUGACGGUCUAAACAUCUUUACAAAGUGAAAUAUGGUGAAGGGGCCAUAACAUAUUUAUCAUCCAAAUCAACUUUGCAAAGAGUCUAUGAAAAGAAAUCAGAAAACUUUCCCAAAAGAAGCAAGUUUUCGAGCAUCGAGACUACUAAAUUAGUACAUAUGGAUCUCUAUGGAUCGCUUCAGCCUGCAUAAUUUGAUAAAAGUAAUUACUUCAUUUCAUUUAUUCAUGACUUUUCUCGUAAAAUAUUAGGUGAUUUUCUUAUAGAAAAGUCUGAUGCAAUUGAAGCUUACAAGAAUUUCAAGGCGAUGGUGAAUAAUCAAAGUAGUCACAAGAUCAAAAACUUAUGCUAAAAUCAUGGUGGUGAUUAUAUUAGCAACACAUUCAAGAAUUUUUGUUAAGAUCAUGGCAUUUUUUUCAUUUUUUUUAUGUUCACUUGUCUUCUAAACAAAUGGCGUAGCAGAGAAAAGAAUAUGACAAUAAUGAAAAUGACUUGAAGUAUGCUGAAAACUAAGAAGAUGCCAAAAAAGUUCUUGACUGAAAUUGCUUAGUGUGCUGUGCAUUUGUUGAAUAGUUGUCCCACCAAAGUGUGCAAAAUGACUCAUCAAGAAGCAUGGAGUGAACUCAAGCAAAGUAUAUUACAUUCAAGUUUUCAUAAGCAUUGCUUUAUCUCAUAUUUCGAAAGAAAGAAGGACCAAACUAGAUGACAACGGUGAGAAAUAAAUCUUAAUAGGCUAUGAUUCAAGAUGAAAAGAUUACUAGCUCUCCAACACAAUAAAUAAGAAUGUGAUCACAAGUAGGGAUGUUGAGUUCGGCGUUGAAAUUGGGCAAGAAGAAAACUAUAAUUUCUUCAAGAACUUGAAAGGCUUACCACUGGAUCAAUGGCAAAAUCACUUUUAGAAUUGGCUCUUUCUUUGCCACAACGAAUAUGUCAAUUCUUAUCAAUGGUUUUCCAUCUCCCUUUUUCUCAUGCUUGAAACUAUUUAUUCUUCUUCGAACUUUUUUUUUCCUUUUUUUUUUUUUUUUUUUUUUUUUUUUACAUCUCCAAUGAAUGGCAUUCUAGAAGCUCUCAAUCAAGCAAAGACUUCCUAUACUAUACUAAAGUCAAAUCAAUGUGGGCAUAAAUUGGGACAUACUGUCAAUGAUCUCAGUUAAACCAAUUAGGAAACGAUUUUCUCUUUGCGGUUAAAUUGGAUACGCGACGUAGGAUAAAGAAAAAGAGUUGAGAACAAGGUGAUGUGAUUCCGCCUUAAUUAACAUCAUCAGCUCUACCUCCAAGAUAUAUCAUCAUCUUCAUCAUCCUCAAGUAAAAUACCACAUCAUUUUAGAUGUUUUCGAUAGAUUUGUAAUGAUACCGAAGAGUUAUCUCAACAUCUCAAGAAAAUAACUUUAUUUUGUUUAUUUGUCCAUCAUGCGAUUAUUAAUUUCAAUGAUGCUAUUAGAAAUAAUAAUGGGUAAAGCCAUGAAAGAAGAGAUCUAUUAAGAAGAAUGAUACUUGGGAGUUAGUGAUGCAACCUACUGGCCAAAAGUCAAUUGGAGUCAUGGACUUUUGAGGAAAAAACAAUGUAAAUGGUGAAAUCGAAUGCUACAAGACAAAUGUUGGUAGCUAAAAGCUACAAUCUGGAACAUGAUGUCAAUUAUGACAAUCAUUGCACUAGUAGCUCUUUUUGAAAUAAUAAGACUUAUCAUUUUCAUGGCAGCAUAAAAUGGAUGUUCAAUCGACAUUUUUGAAUGAAUUUCUACAAUAAAACGUAUACAUACUACAAUCUCAUGGGCAGGGACGAAUUCAGGAGUUUGAGUCAGCAGGGACGACCGUUGACCAUUUAUCGUCGGCCACAAUAAAAUAUUAAGAGUCUUUUUGAUACCCAUUCUUUUGCAAAAAAAAAAGCAUUUUGGAAUAGUGAUUUGACGAAGAACGUGUGACUAAAAAUAAAGAAAAUUUUUGAAUUUACGUGUAAUAUUAUUUUAUUGAAG